CGCGCCCGAUUUUCCUGGCAGCGUGGGCAGCGGCUUUGUCAUCUCGGUUACUCAAAGCCGCAGCGGCCGCCCAAGCCACUCCUGCAAGUGGGGCUGAACCUUGGAGGGUCACGAUGAGGGUAAGGGCGUGAGGAGCCCUGCUUAUUGGCAUCACAUCGCGGAAUUCUGUCCUCUGCCCUCGUUUACGUGACGUCACGCAAUCAGGUAUGUCAUCAGAGACCCUCGAAAGCCCGGCUCCGUUAAUAAGAAUAAAUAGUUACACGGCAAGAUGACCAAGACACACUGUUAAUAGAAAAAAAGGCAAGUUUCAGAACCGUCUAAGAUUGCCCCAGGCAAAACCAGCCUGGGAGGACCAGACCAAAUCUUUCUUUGAAACCUCAGAUCUUCAAAAAUGAAGGGAAAUCCCAACAAGAAGCAAUUGCCAAAACCUCCGGCUAUGGGAAAGUCAUGAAUUAGAUUUUCCUACGGCAUCUGAAAUGUUUACCAACAGCUCCCACCUCCCCCACUUCCACUCACCCUGGCACAUUCCAGACCAAAGCCCAUAAAACCAGCUAGUUUGGUUUUCUGAUCAAUGAGAAAGACAUUCAUGGCGGGCAAUCGCUCUUGACCUUAGGACAAGCUCUUUCCUCUGCCUGGAAUGUCUUCUCCCAGAUGCUAACAUGGAUGACUCCCUCUUCUCCUUCCUAUGGUGGGGCAGUUUAUGGAGAGAAUGCAAAAGAAGGAGCAGCUUUUAGGGGAGAGAUGAUGAGUGACGUUUGGACUUGUUGAUUUUCAGGUAUGACGAGGCUGGGGAUAUCCAGACACCUCUUUUUGAUAGAAGCUAAAAUAAACAGGGCCAAAUAGGCAAUACUGGAACCUGGAGUGUGGCUGCCCCACUUCACCUCCGCUGGAAGCUUUAUCUGUACACUGACAACUCCCAAAUCGUAUCUCCUAUGCAGACUUUCCUCCUGAGCUCCCACCCAAAUGUACCCCAGGGAUAUUUCCACUUAGAUAGCUUAUAGUAACCUCAAGUUCAGCUGUAGAAGUUCAGUUCAGAAGCAUUUAUUAAGGUUCUGAGUUCAAAUGGUGAAUGAGACUUUGUUCCUAACACAUUAGGCUGUAGAAUUCAACUCCUGUUUUUCCAAAGCUUCGUAUCACCACCUGCAUCAGAAUUAUCCCAGAGGCUUGUUACAAUUAUGAAUUCCUGGGACCAACCCAAACCUACUCAAUCAGAAUCUCCUGGGAUAGUGGCUGGGAAUUUGCAUUUGGAGCAAGUUCUAGGUGAUUAUUAGGCACACUUAGGUUUGAGAAUCACUGAUUUCAUGCUGCGAGAAGGUAGGAGACAUUGGCUGCCAAUCAACAGAAGUUUCUUGCAGAAGUGAUUAUUUUAAGCUUAAAAGUAAUAGCAAUAAUAAUAAUUCAUAGUUGCCAAACAUUUUUACAAAUCUCAUUUGACCUCUUGCAGCCCUAUAAAGUAAGUCCUUUUAACCUCAUUUUCUAGAUGGAAAACUGAGGUUCAUAGAGACGACAUGAUCCAUUCAAGGUCUCACAAGUGGUUGCUGGCAGAGCCAAGUCUCAAAUUCCCCUUUCCUGAUUCCAAGUAUACCUAUGCCCUGCCCAGAGCGUCACAGCAGCAUCAGUGAGUCAGUCAGACUUCAAAACAGACCACUUAGGUGUAUAAGGGUGAGUUAUAAUACCCCAAGAGUAUUGGAGCUUAGCCUAACUGAGCGAGAUUAUACCUGGAGCAUUCUGGAACUUUCUACCUUGGGCAGGGAUCAAUAAGUUCAGUUCUGUAUAGCCAAAGAGCAGAAGUGCCAAUAAGCACCCGGAGUUAUCCAAGGUCUUGGGGUUACCUUAGAAUUUCUCCUUUCCCCUUACGUUAUCCCAACCAUCCUAUCUUUCUUCCAGAUGCCCUAGGCAGCCCUCUGUGUACCCUUAAAUUUCUGAAAUUUCUUUUCCUCCAAUCUUUUCCCUAAUUCUACCUAAUUCUCAUGUUCACUUAAACUCCUACUGUUCUUUAAGACUCAGCCUAGACAUCCCUGACCCUUACCCUUCAGGUAGUACUCAGUAUUUCUCCCUUUCUGUUCCCAUAGCAUAGCACCCUGUGUAUGCUUACUAUGUUACUUUGUAGCUCUGUUUGCCUCAUGUCCUUGGUUGUAAACUCCUGAGAGAAGAGAUUGUGUAUCGCUGAUUCUGGGUAUCCCCAGUGCCUAUCACAGUGCCUUGAAAGUAGAUCCUCAGUAGCUGUUUGUUGAAUGAAUGAGUGACUGAUGUCCAUACUACUGCAGUGUCUGGAACUCCAAGUCACACCCCCAAUACACAGCUUCCGUGGUCACAGCCUUUGGUAGAGAAAUCUUUUCUUACUGUGGACAGUGCCAAAAAGAGUUAUUCUGAAAACCAGGGAUGGCCCACCGUGACCCAUCCAGCAACUCACAAGGUCCCCAUUGGUAGCCCUCAAGCUUGCCUUAGGAGGCAUCCUAUUUAUGUGUUAGCGUUUGGCUCACUGAAAAUGAAAAACACAAAUUCAAAUCAUUAAACAUCCCUUUUUCAUCCAUAAAAUUAGCGUUUUUUAAAAGAACUGUCUGUUGAUGAACAUAAGAUGAAAUUGGAUGUUUUUGUACAGCUCCAGGAGGAGUGGAAAUCAAGGCAACUCUUCUAUAGAUCAAUUGUAAAUCGUCAUCAAGAACCCCAAAAUGUUCACACUCUUUAACCCAAUAACUCCACUUCUAAAACUUCUCCUGAAGAAGUAAUUUUUAAAAUGCCAGGAUUCAUGCAGAAUGGGUUGUUUACAAGAGCGCAAGUUAUUUAUAAUAACGAAAGUAAUAGUGAAAGUUGUGAGUACACAGAUGCUACAGUGAGGCAUCCUCCAAGAACUUAGGAUGAGGAACCCGUUUUCCACUGGGAGUUAAUCUACAAAGUCAACCCCAGAUGGAUCAGAGUCCAAACAUUCAAAAUCAGUGGAAAGCGAGAGAAAAGCUACUAGGCUCAUAGAACUUGAUUGUCAGCGUUGACUCACAAAAGAAAGAUUGUGUCAAUCAGAACAGAUUUUAGCCACAGACACACAGAAAUCAAAAGCGAGACUAUGGGCAAGUAUGCGCAGGUUAGCCAGCAGAUUCCAGUGCUCCCUCUGGAAUGGCCAUUCUCAAGAUGAGAAGGUUACACUCGGCCAUGCUGGAAUGAGGCCCUGAGAGGCACCCCACCUCCAUCUUCCUGGUUCCAGGGUCACCAAGGAGCCAUCUGGUUCCCUUGGACUUAACUCCAUGGAAGGGUUGUGGCAUCUUGGUGUCUUUCUAAUAGUAAACUAGAAGAUGGAUUCUAAUUAUAAUAUUCUUCCCAACGUAAGUGGAAGAGGGUGUUCUUUGUACCAGUGCUACCAGGAGUACUUCCUGUCCCUGUGACAGUUAUGUUUCUCAAUGAAAGAUGAAUACGGUGCCCUCCUGCUGUCUCCCUCAGGCCCCUCUUUUCAGUGAACUUAGCAAGAAUCAGUCUUUCAGAACAUGGUCACUCCUGGAUCCUGCAAGAACCAGUUCCAACUGGCCUAUUCUCCACACUAAUUCCACAAGCAGGAGUCUGUUACUCAUUGCUACAGGGCAAAAGUCUGAAUGACCGAAAUGUCCAACAUUAGGGAAAGUUUAAAUAAAUUAUGCUCUAUCCAUUCCUCCCAAUAUUAUGUAGAAAUUAAAAAUCUUCUUUUAAGAAUAUUUAAUUACUUAGAGAAAUAGUCAUAUUCAUUAUUAAAACUGUAUGAUUCACACUCGAAAAAGCAGUUUGACAGUUUCUUGCAAAAAUAUGCAACUAUCAUAUAACCUAGCAAUUGCACUCUUGGGCAUUUAUCCCUGAGAAAUGAAAACUUAUGUUCACAUAAAAACCUAUACAUGAUUAUUUGUAACAGCUUUGUUUGUAAUAGCCAAGAACUAUAAACAAUCCAGAUAUCCUUCAAUAGGUGAAUGGUUAAACCAAUUCUGGUACAUUCAUACCAUGGAAUACUAUUUAGCUAAAAAAAAAAAAAAAAAGGGAACAAUCUAUU
Molecule: long non-coding RNA, 4006 nt
Organism: Choloepus didactylus (southern two-toed sloth)
Lineage: Eukaryota; Metazoa; Chordata; Mammalia; Pilosa; Megalonychidae
Exons: 2
Source: RefSeq, a predicted model, not a curated record